This 914-nucleotide non-coding RNA is filed under the name Drosophila willistoni. Its description in RNAcentral is "Eukaryotic large subunit ribosomal RNA". It matches the Rfam family "Eukaryotic large subunit ribosomal RNA", at positions 1810 to 2401 of the family's 3401-position model. Lineage: Eukaryota; Metazoa; Arthropoda; Insecta; Diptera; Drosophilidae. The record is from Rfam by way of RNAcentral.
UAUGGUGGGGAUACGCAAACUUCUCAACAGGCCGUACCAAUAUCCGCAGCUGGUCUCCAAGGUGAAGAGUCUCUAGUCGAUAGAAUAAUGUAGGUAAGGGAAGUCGGCAAAUUAGAUCCGUAACUUCGGGAUAAGGAUUGGCUCUGAAGAUUGAGAUAGUCGGGCUUGAUUGGGAAACAAUAACAUGGUUUAUGUGCUCGUUCUGGGUAAAUAGAGUUUCUAUCAUUUAUGAUAGUUAUUUGUUCCCCGGAUAGUUAGUUACGUAGCCAAUUGUGGAACUUUCUUGCUAAAAUUUUUAAGAAUACUAAUUUUUAAUUAGUUCUUUUAAAUUAUAACGAUUAUCAAUUAACAAUCAAUUCAGAACUGGCACGGACUUGGGGAAUCCGACUGUCUAAUUAAAACAAAGCAUUGUGAUGGCCCUAGCGGGUGUUGACACAAUGUGAUUUCUGCCCAGUGCUCUGAAUGUCAAAGUGAAGAAAUUCAAGUAAGCGCGGGUCAACGGCGGGAGUAACUAUGACUCUCUCAAAUAUUUCAUGUAUUGUGCUGGGUAUACUCGAAGCUAGAUGUACUAACCUCUAGCUUUUCUUAUACUUUUGCCUGCUACCUUGGCAUUACAUCUAAAAAGGUACAAACAUCGCAUUGUCAAAAAGAGGUGGUUUUAGUACGUAGGCGCUGUGGGACUUCAUUGUCCCGGUGAUGCAGCGAAUCGUGCAUACGAGAUUGUCCAGUAGUUGGUUGCUCGUAUCUUUAGAAGAUUUCCUUCCUCGGCGAUCAAAAAAAAAAAAAAAAAAUAGCCAAAUGCCUCGUCAUCUAAUUAGUGACGCGCAUGAAUGGAUUAACGAGAUUCCUACUGUCCCUAUCUACUGGUCGAGUCGCUAAUCACCGAGGCUGGAGUAUGCGUGAGGGUCACGGGU